GACGAACGCUGGCGGCGUGCCUAAUACAUGCAAGUUGAGCGCUGAAGGUUGGUACUUGUCCCAACUUGAUGAGCAGCGAACGGGUGAGUAACGCGUGGGGAAUCUGCCUUUGAGCGGGGGACAACAUUUGGAAACGAAUGCUAAUACCGCAUAAAAACUUUAAACACAAGUUUUAAGUUUGAAAGAUGCAAUUGCAUCACUCAAAGAUGAUCCCGCGUUGUAUUAGCUAGUUGGUGAGGUAAAGGCUCACCAAGGCGAUGAUACAUAGCCGACCUGAGAGGGUGAUCGGCCACAUUGGGACUGAGACACGGCCCAAACUCCUACGGGAGGCAGCAGUAGGGAAUCUUCGGCAAUGGACGAAAGUCUGACCGAGCAACGCCGCGUGAGUGAAGAAGGUUUUCGGAUCGUAAAACUCUGUUGGUAGAGAAGAACGUUGGUGAGAGUGGAAAGCUCAUCAAGUGACGGUAACUACCCAGAAAGGGACGGCUAACUACGUG
RNAcentral lists this ribosomal RNA (497 nucleotides) under uncultured bacterium. RNAcentral's name for it is "partial 16S ribosomal RNA". It matches the Rfam family "Bacterial small subunit ribosomal RNA", at positions 28 to 507 of the family's 1533-position model. The record is from RNAcentral.